UUCAUUUAUCAAUUAAUGUAGGCUGCUACUAAGUGGUACCAUUCUCCUCUGCUAACAUUAUGAACAUGCAGUAUGUUAGUCACUUACCUUUGGUUAUCCUUGUGUGGUGGUCAAUUAAUCUUCAUCACCAGCUUGCUUUACGACUCUCUGGCUUUAUCCAAACUUUAUAUUCUUUAGAUUUGUAUUCUAGCUCUCCGAUUUGAAAUGCAAAAUAACAGCAAGGAAGUUUGUCGUUGCCAUCUAAUCCCGAAUUUGACUGCUUUGCCUAUCAGUCAGAGUAGAGUAAACCUUUAUUAUUGAUUAAUAUAAUGAUAAUGACAUAAUAUAUAAUCCUUGUUGAUAUCAAGACGAGAUCUUGCCACCUACCAAACAUUUGUGAAAGCAAGUCAGGAGUGUGUGGUUCAAUGCUGGUUUAAGCAGCCUCACCUGGCCCGAGACCUACUUCUCUUAAACUUUACAGGAAAUUACACUCACCAGAAAUCCAAGCCAGGGUCUCUGCCAGGGUGUGUGUGUGCAGGGGCGCUGCCUGGCGGGGAAAAGUGGUACUGAUUCUAAGGGCCCAGCCAAACGCAGCACGGCCCACGGCCCGCGGAUGGCAAUUAAUAAUAUAAUAUUAAUAUUCUUGCCUUUUUUUUUUUUUUUAAAUGUCUCAUUACAAAGAAAUGGUAAUUGGAAAUAAACGUAUUAAACUCACAACUGUCGAUUUCCAUAACGUUUUCGUUAGUUAAUUAACAUAUUGUCAUUUGGCCUUCCCCCUGAGCUCUUGCGAAAUGGUUCAGCCGCAACGCACGAUGCGUUGAAUCGAACAGCAUCCGAAAUGUGAGAUGCUGGCACUGGCAGCAGGUGUACAGAGCGGCUGGGCUGGCUGAGGUCAGGUCUUAACCACAUGAUGGUGAGCUGGUGGUGACAGCUACAGAAAUGAAGUCAGGUUGGCAAAAACUGAAGGAAAGACGGGAGAAAGAGGAGAGGGCCAAAAGAGGCAGGCAACUGGUCACUCAAUUGUUCGCCAAUAAAGAAGGAGGACAAGAUCCGCCCACGGCCACCACGACUGGAUUCCAUUUCGGAGAAGGAGGUAAGCAACAUUAGUUUGGUAGGAUGUUAGUUGCUUUAGGAUGAAAGUUUUGAAUGAGGGUGCCUUCUAGGCUAGAUCAUAUUUCAGUAUUUGACGGUCAGUCGUUAGGUUCGAGAAAACAGAAUGUUUUUCUUUCUUUUACUGUAACUCUUGUUACUUGUAUAUUUUUAUUGAUGUCUACAAUGUGGAUCCAUUGAUAUUGUAUGCAAUUGCACUGUAAAUUAUGUUCUUUGUUUACAUUUUGAUUGUUACUUGGAGCUAUUUUUUGCACUUUAGACUUCAGCAAUUAAACUUUUUAUUCAUGAACAGUGUAAAUUGAGAUUUUUUUUCAUAUUGUUUGAAGCUGAAGUGUAAAUAUUUGUGUUGAUGUCAAGCAAUUGUAAUGUUAAUUCAGUUCCUAUAAGAGUCUAUCUUUUUAAUGUAUCUUUUUUAUGUACUAUUUAUGGAAUUUGAAAUUGUACUUGCAUAAUAAAUAUGUGUUUAAAGUAAGCAGAAACGGUGGAUUUUUUUGCAGUGCAUCAUGUCUUCUGAAAAGACUAUUGCAGUUAUACAAGGUAUGAAAUUGUGAGUACUCUUAUGGUUUCUUGGGGCUCUGGCUGUGAAGCAUCCACAGGCUUAUGCUGCCAUGUACUGGUUUAACAUUGUAAUGUACUCUCAAUUACAAAGCAAGGUCACUAACUACAUGAAUGGGUAACCAAUAAUCAAACUGACAAUUGUAGUACAGUUUCAAGCUGCUUACAGACAAUUUAAGCAUAACAAUCAAAUUUCUGUAUUUGUGAAUCUGUACACAGCUUUAUUUUCAACACAAAAUUCCAUUGGAUUUCCAUAGGUAUUUGUGUUGUGUGGAAAACAGUGUGUUUGGAUUUGCUGAAAAGUUGAUGUGUUGAAACCAAACUGGGUCAAGUCCAAUUUUAGCAUGAGAGAAGGACAUUGUUGUAAAAUUGUGUUUAAGCCGCUAUUGGACAAUAUGUAUAAGACUGCUGCCUAAAAGACAGUAGGCUAUAAAUACUUAGUUUAUUACUUGAAUUACAUGAUGUCACUAACUGAAUGAAAUACGUUUAAUAAGUAAGUUCAUACCCUUAUUUAAAGUCACACAAACCCAUACUCCAUGAAGGGGCA
Molecule: long non-coding RNA, 2191 nt
Organism: Gadus morhua (Atlantic cod)
Lineage: Eukaryota; Metazoa; Chordata; Actinopteri; Gadiformes; Gadidae
Source: Ensembl